GACUUUAAUUUCUUCAGUUACGUACAAAAUAAUCCUGAUGGAUCUACAAAAUAGAGUAUCAAAUAAGAAGCAACAAUUUGCAGAGUGUUAGUGUAAAAUUCUCCAUGAAAUCAUGGCAAGUAUUAUACAUUCUCCCUGAGGUCCUCCGUGUAGGUACUUGGUUAUUCGAUCGAUAGACCAGAAAACACACAGAAGCCCUUGAGGAAGAGUGAGUAAUGAAUGCCAUUAUUGUUGUUGUUGACGAAAAUUCUAGACAGUAAUAUUGUCCACUCUCCUCGAUGACCUCCAGCCUUGUCAUGCAUGUGUCUGGCACUGCUGGAAGUCUUUGAGGGAGAGUGAGCAAUAAAAAUGUCUCGUACGUGGGAACACUAUUACUUCAUUAUUCUUGAUCGCCAGCAAGCCACAGCUUGUUCAAACCCCCUGCAAGAGCUUCUAGCCUACUAAUCCCAGCUGAUCGAAAUGAAUUACCUUUUUUUGUUUUUCCAUUUUUGAAUGCAUGGGCUAGGGCAGAUAUGCAGAAGCCCUUUAGGGAGAGUGAGCAACCAAUGGCUUGACAGAAAAGAUAUUAA
RNAcentral lists this unclassified non-coding RNA (569 nucleotides) under Hevea brasiliensis (rubber tree). The record is from RNAcentral. Lineage: Eukaryota; Viridiplantae; Streptophyta; Magnoliopsida; Malpighiales; Euphorbiaceae.